GUACUGAUGAAGAGUCCCAAACUAGGACGAAACAGCUGUUGAGUAC
RNAcentral lists this non-coding RNA (46 nucleotides) under Trichobilharzia regenti. The record is from RNAcentral. Lineage: Eukaryota; Metazoa; Platyhelminthes; Trematoda; Strigeidida; Schistosomatidae.